GUGGCUGUGGCACAGCAGUAGAGCACUCGCCUAGCACGUGUGAGGCCCUGAGUUCCAUCCUCAGCACCACA
This 71-nucleotide transfer RNA is filed under the name Ictidomys tridecemlineatus (thirteen-lined ground squirrel). RNAcentral describes it as "Spermophilus tridecemlineatus (thirteen-lined ground squirrel) tRNA". It matches the Rfam family "tRNA". Rfam says of the family: Transfer RNA (tRNA) molecules are approximately 80 nucleotides in length. Their secondary structure includes four short double-helical elements and three loops (D, anti-codon, and T loops). Further hydrogen bonds mediate the characteristic L-shaped molecular structure. tRNAs have two regions of fundamental functional importance: the anti-codon, which is responsible for specific mRNA codon recognition, and the 3' end, to which the tRNAs corresponding amino acid is attached (by aminoacyl-tRNA synthetases). tRNAs cope with the degeneracy of the genetic code in two manners: having more than one tRNA (with a specific anti-codon) for a particular amino acid; and 'wobble' base-pairing, i.e. permitting non-standard base-pairing at the 3rd anti-codon position. The record is from Rfam by way of RNAcentral. Lineage: Eukaryota; Metazoa; Chordata; Mammalia; Rodentia; Sciuridae.